Molecule: ribosomal RNA, 540 nt
Filed under: uncultured bacterium
Lineage: Bacteria
Description: partial 16S ribosomal RNA
Rfam family: Bacterial small subunit ribosomal RNA
Source: RNAcentral
UGGGGAAUAUUGCACAAUGGGCGCAAGCCUGAUGCAGCAACGCCGCGUGAGGGAUGACGGCCUUCGGGUUGUAAACCUCUUUUAGUAGGGAAGAAGCGAAAGUGACGGUACCUGCAGAAAAAGCACCGGCUAACUACGUGCCAGCAGCCGCGGUAAUACGUAGGGUGCGAGCGUUGUCCGGAAUUAUUGGGCGUAAAGAGCUCGUAGGCGGUCUGUCGCGUCUGCUGUGAAAAUCCCCGAGGCUCAACCUCGGGCCUGCAGUGGGUACGGGCAGACUAGAGUGCGGUAGGGGAGAAUGGAAUUCCUGGUGUAGCGGUGGAAUGCGCAGAUAUCAGGAGGAACACCGAUGGCGAAGGCAGUUCUCUGGGCCGUAACUGACGCUGAGGAGCGAAAGCGUGGGGAGCGAACAGGAUUAGAUACCCUGGUAGUCCACGCCGUAAACGUUGGGCGCUAGAUGUGGGGACCAUUCCACGGUUUCCGUGUCGCAGCUAACGCAUUAAGCGCCCCGCCUGGGGAGUACGGCCGCAAGGCUAAAACCCC